UUAAACUGCGAAUGGCUCAUUAAAACAGUUAUAGUUUAUUUGAUACAUUAAAUGGAUAACUGUAGAAAAACUAGAGGUAAUACAUGCCAAAGCCUCACGGUUGUAUUUAUUAGAUAUUCCAAUUAGGUGAAUCAUAAUAACUUCGCAAAUCUCGUUUUUGCCGAGAUAAAUCAUCCAAGUUUCUGCCCUAUCAUGCUUUCGAUGGUAGUGUAUUGGACUACCACCCGCCCCCACGGGUAACAGGGAAUUAGGGUUCGAUUCUGGAGAAGGAGCCUGAGAAACGGCUACUACAUCUACGGAAGGCAGCAGGCGCGUAAAUUACCCAAUCCUGACUCAGGGAGGUGGUGACAAGAUAUAACAACGCAAUUUCAUUGUGAUUGUAGUGAGGGUAUUCCAAACCGAACCACUAGUACGAUUAGAGGGCAAGUCUGGUGCCAGCAGCCGCGGUAAUUCCAGCUCUAAUAGCGUAUAUUAAAGUUGCUGCAGUUAAAAGCUCGUAGUUGGAUUUCAGGAUUGUGUACUC
Molecule: ribosomal RNA, 523 nt
Filed under: uncultured eukaryote
Lineage: Eukaryota
Description: SSU rRNA
Rfam family: Eukaryotic small subunit ribosomal RNA
Source: RNAcentral